UAUAUUACUGUUUUAUUGAUUAUGGGUGAGUGACUGAGAACCCGAUGUUGUAUGUUGUCUUGUUUGACAUAAAUUAUUGGUUUGCUUGUUUGUGUGUAAAUUGAUGGUGAUGACUGAGAAAAGGGGAAUGAAAGGUUAUGUAAAUUGAUAGUUGUAUAAUGUGGUCAGCCUGACUAGAUAUCUUGGGAGAUGGUGGACGGACC
RNAcentral lists this long non-coding RNA (203 nucleotides) under Carica papaya (papaya). RNAcentral describes it as "long non-coding RNA (CPAP_LNC016295)". Lineage: Eukaryota; Viridiplantae; Streptophyta; Magnoliopsida; Brassicales; Caricaceae. The record is from RNAcentral.